GAUGAACGCUAGCGGCAGGCUUAAUACAUGCAAGUCGAGGGGGCAUUUCGGUGUCACCGGCGAACGGGUGCGUAACGCGUAUGCAACCUACCCUUAUCAGGGGGAUAGCCCUAGGAAACUGGGAUUAACACCGCAUAACAUAAAUUAUGGCAUCAUGAUUUAUUAAAAUAUUUAUAGGAUAAGGAUGGGCAUGCGUUAGAUUAGUUAGUUGGUAGGGUAACGGCUUACCAAGACGACGAUCUAUAGGGGCUCUGAGAGGAGUAUCCCCCACACUGGCGCUGAGAUACGGGCCAGACUCCUACGGGAGGCAGCAGUAGGGAAUAUUGGGCAAUGGAGGCAACUCUGACCCAGCCAUGCCGCGUGCAGGAAGACGGUCCUCUGGAUUGUAAACUGCUUUUGAAUAGGAAGAACACUACUCUUGCGAGAGUAUUUGACGGUACUAUUAGAAUAAGCACCGGCUAACUCCGUGCCAGCAGCCGCAGUAA
RNAcentral lists this ribosomal RNA (485 nucleotides) under uncultured bacterium. RNAcentral's name for it is "partial 16S ribosomal RNA". It matches the Rfam family "Bacterial small subunit ribosomal RNA", at positions 28 to 523 of the family's 1533-position model. The record is from RNAcentral.